UUGAGCGGAGAUAUAUGGAGCUUGCUUUAUUAACUUAGCAGCGAACGGGUGAGUAACACGUAGAUAAUCUAUCCUAUACUGGGGGAUAGCCCGAUGAAAGUUGGAUUAAUACCGCAUAUAGCUAUAUAGUUGCAUGAUUAUGUAGUGAAAGAUUUAUUGGUAUAGGAGGAGUCUGCGGCACAUUAGCUAGUAGGUGAGGUAAAGGCUUACCUAGGCGACGAUGUGUAGCCGGUCUGAGAGGAUGAACGGCCACAAUGGAACUGAGACACGGUCCAUACUCCUACGGGAGGCAGCAGUGGGGAAUAUUGCACAAUGGGGGAAACCCUGAUGCAGCAACGCCGCGUGAGUGAAGAAGGUUUUCGGAUUGUAAAGCUCUGUUAGCAGGGAAGAGGAAGGACGGUACCUGCAGAGGAAGCCACGGCUAACUACGUGCCAGCAGCCGCGGUAAUACGUAGGUGACAAGCGUUGUUCGGAAUAACUGGGCGUAAAGGAUGCGUAGGCGGUUAAACAAGUUAUAUGUUAAAUAUAUAGGCUUAACCUGUAGAAAGCAUAUAAAACUGUUUAACUAGAGUGCAGGAGAGGUAAGUGGAAUUCCUAGUGUAGCGGUGAAAUGCGUAGAGAUUAGGAAGAACACCAGUGGCGAAGGCGACUUACUGGACUGUAACUGACGCUGAGGCAUGAGAGCAUGGGGAGCAAACAGGAUUAGAUACCCUGGUAGUCCAUGCUGUAAACGAUGGGUACUAGGUGUGGGUUGUGAAUAACAAUUCGUGCCGUCGCAAACGCAAUA
This 787-nucleotide ribosomal RNA is filed under the name uncultured bacterium. RNAcentral describes it as "bacterial SSU rRNA". It matches the Rfam family "Bacterial small subunit ribosomal RNA", at positions 62 to 862 of the family's 1533-position model. The record is from RNAcentral.